Long non-coding RNA from Cuculus canorus (common cuckoo), 1876 nucleotides. RefSeq lists it as uncharacterized. The record is from RefSeq and is a predicted model, not a curated record. The transcript is spliced from 3 exons. Lineage: Eukaryota; Metazoa; Chordata; Aves; Cuculiformes; Cuculidae.
GAGCUUUCCUCCCAAGCCGGGGCUGGCAGCGGGCCGUGUGUGCCCAGGCACGAGCUUCUCUCCCGGUCACUGGCUCCAGGAGCGGCGGUGGAGGGAGCCACCCGCUCCCGGGGUUUGCCUAAAGAACCGUGUUCCUUUUGCUUCCCUGGCUCUGCCGCUCCCGAGCACAGGUAGCGCUAGGAGCUUCCGGUCGAGCCGCAGGGCGAUAGGCGCUGUUUCAGGAUAAGCAGCACCGCGCGGAACUUCUCCCGGAACAGAUGCUCUCUGAGGAACGCUGGGGAGCUGCCGCUGGUUGUGGGUGCGACAGCCCGUAGUCAAUUCCCAGCGUGAGGAAAGCCGGGUCCUGGGGCGUGUUGUGGUUCCAGACUCCUGGUUUGAGAGGGCUCUGCCGUACCCCAGAACGCGGUUUUGGUUGUGUUUUCUCUGUCCAAGACCACCAUCCUGCUCAAGCUCGAGCAUCUGCCAUCAGCCCAGAAGGUGUCUCAGACCAUCCCUGGGGGAAGUGGGAGCUGCUCCUAACUUCUGGUGUAAAGAGCCCUACUUAGGAGAAGAGUUUUAAGAAAACCCCAUUUCUUGGCUACUGGGCAAUGCAGGGGUGCUGCCUGCAGGGCUGCUGAGGAAGGUGGAGUGAGGCCAGUCUCCAGUGUGCGCUGUGUCCAUGGAUUGGCUUUGUCCCCCUGUGGCUGAUGGAGAUGCCCGCAUGGCGCUGUGAUUUUGAGUGAGUCCAUCUUGCUGAAGCAUUCCUUGUUGGCUGAUGGCGUAGAAACGCUCUGCUCCCCAGCCUCACUUAAGGAUUGCUUGGUGCCCACUUGGGUAGGAAUCAUCAGCUCCCUGUGCCAGGUGUUUAGGCAGGGAAAACCGGGGGCAGUGGAAAAGUAGGACUGUGGCCAGCUGGGGGUUCCAGUAGAUUCCUGGAGGCACAAAAGAGUGCACAGCAAGCUGAACUCCAGAGGAAGUCUGGGCUUUCUGCCCACUGAGAAGGAUAAGGCUUGGAAAAGGUGUUCCCAAAGAAGGAGAGCACAGGGCAGGCGGGAUGAAUCGCAGGGGAGUAGAAGGAUUGCAGAAAUUAGAUGUGACUGCUCUGCAUCUUUACUUUGUUCAGGGGUUCACUGCAUCCAGAACUCCUGUAGUUCCUUCAGGACUGGAAGGACUCGGGGCUCUGCUUUUGGGGUUACAGGAAAUGUAGCUGGAAACAAAGAAAACAAGUGGACAGAACCCUGUUUUAGUGACUGCUGUGAUACUCCAGCUUGUUAGGCCAAUGCACUGAUUUCAGCUGUGUCUGUCUUCAGGUGGGGCACAAGCUGUUGGGCUUUACAGCACUAAAAGUAAAUGUUCAGUUCCAGUUACACUUUUUAAUGCAAAAUGCUAAUUUCAUUCUUGAUGGGGAGAGUAAAAUUCCCAAAGCUUUUAGUUUAAGUAGUGAUGCGAGAGGGAUUUUCUCCCUGAAGGAAAGGAGCUAGUUUUAGUCUUGAGUGAGAUGAUUGGUUCCUUUCUGUGUAAUUUCCUGUCUUUGCCAAUUGGCGAUUUCUGCAUAUCUAAUUACCAUUAAACACUGCUGAACCACAAAUCCUGUGUGUAAAUAAUGGGCAUGGUUCAUGAGAAGGCACGAUGGGGCUGGUGGUCUGAUGUUUGGACUGGAGGAGUUUAGAGGUCUUCUCAGCCUCGGUAGUUGGACGGUAAUGGUUAGGAGGACUGUGCUGGGAGCUGGCUGGGAACACCUGGAGUGCCGGUUCUUAGCUGUUCCUUGGCAGGAAAGACGAGGGUGAUCAGGAGCAUCCAAGUGAGGGAAGGGCAGUACCUGGAAGAGCCUGAGCUGUUGCUGGGUCUGCUUUAACUGCUGUACCUCAAGGGGUGGUUCCCUUCUCCAAGAGUAAUG